GGGUUGUGAGGUUAAGCGACUAAGCGUACACGGUGGAUGCCCUGGCAGUCAGAGGCGAUGAAGGACGUGCUAAUCUGCGAUAAGCGUCGGUAAGGUGAUAUGAACCGUUAUAACCGGCGAUUUCCGAAUGGGGAAACCCAGUGUGAUUCGUCACACUAUCAUUAACUGAAUCCAUAGGUUAAUGAGGCGAACCGGGGGAACUGAAACAUCUAAGUACCCCGAGGAAAAGAAAUCAACCGAGAUUCCCCCAGUAGCGGCGAGCGAACGGGGAGCAGCCCAGAGCCUGAAUCAGUGUGUGUGUUAGUGGAAGCGUCUGGAAAGGCGCGCGAUACAGGGUGACAGCCCCGUACACAAAAAUGCACAUGCUGUGAGCUCGAUGAGUAGGGCGGGACACGUGGUAUCCUGUCUGAAUAUGGGGGGACCAUCCUCCAAGGCUAAAUACUCCUGACUGACCGAUAGUGAACCAGUACCGUGAGGGAAAGGCGAAAAGAACCCCGGCGAGGGGAGUGAAAAAGAACCUGAAACCGUGUACGUACAAGCAGUGGGAGCACAGAGCAAUCUGUGUGACUGCGUACCUUUUGUAUAAUGGGUCAGCGACUUAUAUUCUGUAGCAAGGUUAACCGAAUAGGGGAGCCGAAGGGAAACCGAGUCUUAACUGGGCGUUAAGUUGCAGGGUAUAGACCCGAAACCCGGUGAUCUAGCCAUGGGCAGGUUGAAGGUUGGGUAACACUAACUGGAGGACCGAACCGACUAAUGUUGAAAAAUUAGCGGAUGACUUGUGGCUGGGGGUGAAAGGCCAAUCAAACCGGGAGAUAGCUGGUUCUCCCCGAAAGCUAUUUAGGUAGCGCCUCGUGAAUUCAUCUCCGGGGGUAGAGCACUGUUUCGGCAAGGGGGUCAUCCCGACUUACCAACCCGAUGCAAACUGCGAAUACCGGAGAAUGUUAUCACGGGAGACACACGGCGGGUGCUAACGUCCGUCGUGAAGAGGGAAACAACCCAGACCGCCAGCUAAGGUCCCAAAGUCAUGGUUAAGUGGGAAACGAUGUGGGAAGGCCCAGACAGCCAGGAUGUUGGCUUAGAAGCAGCCAUCAUUUAAAGAAAGCGUAAUAGCUCACUGGUCGAGUCGGCCUGCGCGGAAGAUGUAACGGGGCUAAACCAUGCACCGAAGCUGCGGCAGCGACGCUGAUGCGUUGUUGGGUAGGGGAGCGUUCUGUAAGCCUGUGAAGGUGUACUGUGAGGUAUGCUGGAGGUAUCAGAAGUGCGAAUGCUGACAUAAGUAACGAUAAAGCGGGUGAAAAGCCCGCUCGCCGGAAGACCAAGGGUUCCUGUCCAACGUUAAUCGGGGCAGGGUGAGUCGACCCCUAAGGCGAGGCCGAAAGGCGUAGUCGAUGGGAAACAGGUUAAUAUUCCUGUACUUGGUGUUACUGCGAAGGGGGGACGGAGAAGGCUAUGUUGGCCGGGCGACGGUUGUCCCGGUUUAAGCGUGUAGGCUGGUUUUCCAGGCAAAUCCGGAAAAUCAAGGCUGAGGCGUGAUGACGAGGCACUACGGUGCUGAAGCAACAAAUGCCCUGCUUCCAGGAAAAGCCUCUAAGCAUCAGGUAACAUCAAAUCGUACCCCAAACCGACACAGGUGGUCAGGUAGAGAAUACCAAGGCGCUUGAGAGAACUCGGGUGAAGGAACUAGGCAAAAUGGUGCCGUAACUUCGGGAGAAGGCACGCUGAUAUGUAGGUGAAGUCCCUCGCGGAUGGAGCUGAAAUCAGUCGAAGAUACCAGCUGGCUGCAACUGUUUAUUAAAAACACAGCACUGUGCAAACACGAAAGUGGACGUAUACGGUGUGACGCCUGCCCGGUGCCGGAAGGUUAAUUGAUGGGGUCAGCGCAAGCGAAGCUCUUGAUCGAAGCCCCGGUAAACGGCGGCCGUAACUAUAACGGUCCUAAGGUAGCGAAAUUCCUUGUCGGGUAAGUUCCGACCUGCACGAAUGGCGUAAUGAUGGCCAGGCUGUCUCCACCCGAGACUCAGUGAAAUUGAACUCGCUGUGAAGAUGCAGUGUACCCGCGGCAAGACGGAAAGACCCCGUGAACCUUUACUAUAGCUUGACACUGAACAUUGAGCCUUGAUGUGUAGGAUAGGUGGGAGGCUUUGAAGUGUGGACGCCAGUCUGCAUGGAGCCGACCUUGAAAUACCACCCUUUAAUGUUUGAUGUUCUAACGUUGACCCGUGAUCCGGGUUGCGGACAGUGUCUGGUGGGUAGUUUGACUGGGGCGGUCUCCUCCUAAAGAGUAACGGAGGAGCACGAAGGUUGGCUAAUCCUGGUCGGACAUCAGGAGGUUAGUGCAAUGGCAUAAGCCAGCUUGACUGCGAGCGUGACGGCGCGAGCAGGUGCGAAAGCAGGUCAUAGUGAUCCGGUGGUUCUGAAUGGAAGGGCCAUCGCUCAACGGAUAAAAGGUACUCCGGGGAUAACAGGCUGAUACCGCCCAAGAGUUCAUAUCGACGGCGGUGUUUGGCACCUCGAUGUCGGCUCAUCACAUCCUGGGGCUGAAGUAGGUCCCAAGGGUAUGGCUGUUCGCCAUUUAAAGUGGUACGCGAGCUGGGUUUAGAACGUCGUGAGACAGUUCGGUCCCUAUCUGCCGUGGGCGCUGGAGAACUGAGGGGGGCUGCUCCUAGUACGAGAGGACCGGAGUGGACGCAUCACUGGUGUUCGGGUUGUCAUGCCAAUGGCACUGCCCGGUAGCUAAAUGCGGAAGAGAUAAGUGCUGAAAGCAUCUAAGCACGAAACUUGCCCCGAGAUGAGUUCUCCCUGACUCCUUGAGAGUCCUGAAGGAACGUUGAAGACGACGACGUUGAUAGGCCGGGUGUGUAAGCGCAGCGAUGCGUUGAGCUAACCGGUACUAAUGAACCGUGAGGCUUAACCUUACAACGCCGAAGCUGUU
RNAcentral lists this ribosomal RNA (2932 nucleotides) under Escherichia coli. RNAcentral's name for it is "23S ribosomal RNA". It matches the Rfam family "Bacterial large subunit ribosomal RNA". The record is from RNAcentral. Lineage: Bacteria; Pseudomonadati; Pseudomonadota; Gammaproteobacteria; Enterobacterales; Enterobacteriaceae.